UGUUUAGGUAGGAUAUAUUUUGGAAAGUAGGUUUAAACCUUUGGAGUUAGGUGCCUAGUUCUCCUUCUAUCAUCAUACAUAUUUGUUUCUUUUUUAUUGUGCUAGAGAUCUUUAGUCCUUCUUAUACUUACAUUCCUUUUUUUUCUUUUUUCUUUUUUUGAAGAAAUGUCUUUUUCCACUUCUUAUUUCCGCAUCAUUUUUUAAAAUU
RNAcentral lists this long non-coding RNA (208 nucleotides) under Lathyrus oleraceus (garden pea). RNAcentral's name for it is "Pisum sativum (pea) long non-coding RNA (PSAT_LNC016797)". Lineage: Eukaryota; Viridiplantae; Streptophyta; Magnoliopsida; Fabales; Fabaceae. The record is from RNAcentral.